CUUCAAGGAACCAUUAACAUAUCUUUAAGCAAUGCUUCUUAAACAGGGAAUCAAGGAUAUGAAUGUGGAAAUCUAGGUUGAUGCUACCUUUCCAGCAGAUAAGAGGUCCCUUCGACAGUACACCCUGGGAGCUUCUGACUAGCCGAUACAGUUUCCAGAAAACCCUGAAAGAAGGAAAAUCAAAGUUACUGCUGGACUUGUGAAAAGCAAGAGAGCGUGAGAGGAAGAAAAGCAAAGCAGCUGGACAAUCUUCAGUUACCGAAGUGGCACAUUAAUGAUGAGAAUUAAUAAUAUUAAAGAGAUAGAAUGCUACAGCUCAUUUUUAAAACUCUCUAUGGUUUCAGUAUUAACCUUAGUUCAAGAGAGAUUUUAUCUGCUCAAAUUUCUUGUUGUCAUUGUCAGAAAAAAUUGUGCUUCUUAGAGCCAAAUUACAUUUCUAGUCUUCCAAGUGCAUGGUAGAUUUGGGACACAUGAAUGAACUGCCAAUAUAUUUUGAAGAUUUUAUUUCUUUUAUUUGAGAGAGAGAUGGAGAGCCCAGAAGGAGAGUAAGAAGGCGAAGUAGACUCCCUGCUGAGCAGAGAGCCUGAUGUGGAACUUGAUCCCAAAACCGUGAGAUCGUGACCUGAGCCAAAGGCAGAUGCUUAACUGAGUGAGCCACCCAGGCGCCCCUGGAUCAAUAUAUAUUUAAUUGAUUCCCCCACGGUCUUUUGAAUCUGUACAAUUUAUAUAAAAAGUUAGACAAAUUGAUAUUGGAAUCCACCGGGAUGCAAGUAUAUUUGAAGCUUAACAUUUUUUCCCACUAUAUCUUAAUGCAUACUGAAAUAAUUUAUCAUCAGUAAGAAUGUUGGAUGGAUAUUAACUUUUAGACAACAGAGAUUGAAUAUAUAAAAAUCUCAACAAUGUACUUAUCUAAGAGAAAACUUCAACCCUUGUGUUGCACUAUACUUUCAAUUUGGGAAGUAGUUAGUAAAAAAUUAUGUCCAUUCACAAGGCUAGAGAAAGUAAGCAAAAUUCCAUUUCUAUAAGGGUAUGAGUAAAUAUGACACAGUUGCAGAAUAACUACCAUAUAAAGAACAAGUGUUCCGUUCUCAGCACUAUGGUGGAUGUGUGCCUUAUAAACAUCACUAUUUAAUCUUUAUAACCCUGCAAGGUAGGCAUCAUUGGCCUCGUUCUAUAGAUGAAGAGUCUGAGACCUCAAGAGGAUAAGAAGCCUGUCCCAGUUCUGAAAGUACUAAGUGGUAAACCCAGCAUUUUACCCUUGGUUCCAACUCCCAAUACUCAUGGUCUUCGAUCUCAUAUACCUGCUUAUCUAUAAUUAUGAAACCUAUUAUUCUGAUAAUGUUUGUUGUGUCCUUUCUAUGACACAUUCUAGGAGGAUUCCUCUGGUCAUGAAGAAUCACUAAGCAAGAAGGCAUCAUGAGUGAUUUUUCUAUUUGUGGUCAGACCCACAUGUUAAAUAUUCCAUUUGAUGACACUGUGAUGCUUGUAUAUUUUUUAAGUCUAUUUAUUUUUAGUAAUCUCUACACCCAACAUGGGACUCAAACACACAAGCCUGAGAUCAAGAGUGGCAUGCUCUUCUAAAUGAGCCAGCUCCCUGAUGCUAUGAUGCUUUUAAAAUGCUAAAAGGAAGUUUCCCAAAAUUGUUAGACCACAACCCAACUGGGUUACUAGUUCUGUGUCUUAUCAUUUUUGUGUCCCCACAUCACAGCUUAGCAUGAUUUUGUCACACAGUACAUUUGGAACACACAGUGUUGGAUAAAUGUGUGAACAACUGAAGACUUGGGAACUUCUUUGCUAAUGUAUAAACCACCAUUAGACUUCCAUGUUAAACCAUCUGGUCGAAACCACUAAAAGAAAAGAAAAUUAACAUGUUUUUAUGAAAGCCUUAUGGAAAGCAUCACUUCUUUUCCUAUGCACCAAGAGAAGACUUUCAAUUAUAAUGUAAGGAACCUUUAUAAAGCAUGGACAAGGUUACUUUCUGACUCAAGAUACUGAUGUACGUAUUUCUAAACUUCCGAUAAUACUGUAUAACUAGGAAAAAUGCAUCAAACUAAACAAGCACAGCUUAGAACUGACACAAUUCUUGGGGCACCUGGGUGGCUCCGUGGGUUAAAGCCUCUGCCUUCGGCUCAGGUCGUGAUCUCAUGGUCCUGGGAUAGAUCGA
Lutra lutra (Eurasian river otter) is the source of this 2164-nucleotide long non-coding RNA. RefSeq lists it as uncharacterized. The transcript is spliced from 4 exons. Lineage: Eukaryota; Metazoa; Chordata; Mammalia; Carnivora; Mustelidae. The record is from RefSeq and is a predicted model, not a curated record.